CGGCUGGUAAGGGUGAAAGGGUGCGGUAAGAGCGCACCGCGCGACCGGCAACGGAAGCGGCACGGUAAACCCCACCGGGAGCAAGACCAAAUAGGGGCGGCGGUCUUCCCUUCGGGGAAGCGAAAUGGACUUCCGCAUAGUCGCCCGGGUCGGUUGCGUGAGGUGUCCGGUAACGGGCAUCCCAGAUGAAUGGCCGUCCAUCGUGGGGAACCACGGGGACAAAACCCGGCUUACAGGCCGUCUGACGCA
RNAcentral lists this RNase P RNA (249 nucleotides) under Rhodospirillales bacterium. RNAcentral describes it as "partial RNase P RNA component class A". It matches the Rfam family "Bacterial RNase P class A", at positions 142 to 367 of the family's 367-position model. From Rfam's summary of the family: Ribonuclease P (RNase P) is a ubiquitous endoribonuclease, found in archaea, bacteria and eukarya as well as chloroplasts and mitochondria. Its best characterised activity is the generation of mature 5'-ends of tRNAs by cleaving the 5'-leader elements of precursor-tRNAs. Lineage: Bacteria; Pseudomonadati; Pseudomonadota; Alphaproteobacteria; Rhodospirillales. The record is from RNAcentral.